UUGAAACAAAUAAACAGGCCAGGGUUCAUCUUUCUUUCACUUAAUAUACAACGAAUAACGAUUGAUUAUAAACUUUGUCUUCUUGUUACCAUUGACUCUCUCUUCCUCUCUGAGAAGCUGCAACCGAAUGUUGGAUAACGAAAAGUCACGGGUCGUAUCAGAUUCUACCAUUACUAGCAUGUUUGGAGAUCGUCCUCCUUACCUAUUCCAUGAAGAUUCAAAACCUAUCUCAACUCAAGACUUCCUUGUCUGGUUCUGACGUAUACAAAUCCCGUACUUUCUCCUCCGGCAAAUACAACUGGAGAUUGGUUAUAUAUCCAAAAGGGAACAAGAAGGACAACGGGGCAGGAUUUAAUUUCACUGUAUGUGGAAAUAGAUAACAAAACACUACAGUCCACGGUUUUGACAUACCUCACCUUCUUCGUCCACAAUAAGAAAGAAAAUAAAUAUUUUACUUUUCAAGGUGAUUGAUUACAUCCCGGAUCUCGUAUAUACUAUAGCACAAGUCACUUGCCCAAUAAUAUUUUGACACAUAGAUAAUAUUUAUUAUUUUUCAAAAACAACAAUUACUAAAACAGUUGAAACAAAUCAGUUUCAGAACCUAAAAGCAAGAAAGAAAAUAAUUAUUUUAAGCGCCUCAUAUAUUACACCCACGAUUUCCUGCUUAUUAUGUAUUGCAUUGGUCAGUGGUGUAGACGGAUUCAUAUAAUUAAUAGUUAUUUAACAAGCGGGCAAGUGUUUUAACUCUCAACAUUUAGUUAUAUCAGUUUUACAGUUUUAACUUCUUCUUUUUUUGUAGAAGAACCGUGCUUCACGUGAUAAGUUAUGCAAUUGGUAUGUUAUAAUUUCCAAGUAACUCUUAUGAUAAGCAAUUUUCUGGUCACUUUUAUUCAGAAAACAUACUAAGAAAGAUUAUAGAUGGACAUGAAUCUCGAAUAAUGAAAACUAAUAUCUGUAAAUAUGUAAUUUUAGUUUGCGUGAGUAUUUUAUCUAACUUCAGUUUGUUAAUUCGAAUCAUGUCUUUAAUAUCUUUAAAAAAUAUUAAGUACAUAAGAGAUUUACUCCGUGCGUAGCACGGGAGAUACACUAGUAUUUAUAUAAAUUUGUAAGUUUAUUGAUGGAUUAUCUAUGUAACAUCCAUAUGUUGAAGGGAAGCCGUUCAAUGCAUUAAGACCAGUGCAUGGGUUUUCACAAGUACUUCCCCUUGAUACAUUCAAUGAUUAUAAAGACGGUUAUGCUUUUGAUGGAAAUCAAUGGGAGUUUAGUGUUGAUGUGAUGGUUCCACUUACCAAUUGGGAAGUCGUCUCCUUUACUCAGAAACCCUUCAAACCAGAGUUCUGUUGGACGGUCAACAAAUUCUCUAAGUUGAAAGAGCAUCGCUACGUAUCAGACAAGUUCUUAAUGGGAGGAAAGAAAUGGGCCAUGUCGUUGUAUCCCAAAGGCGUGAUUACAUCAGAUGGCAAAUCGAUAUCCAUCUAUUUGAAGUUAAGCCGGAUAAAGAUACAUUGAAGGCAGGUGAGCAGAUCUACACCAAAGCGGAUGUGCGAAUUCUGACCCAUUUGGAAUCACUUGACAAGGAAGUUUAACCAGUGGCAGGAGAGAUCACACUUACUCCAAGGUUUGGGUUGGGUUGGAUUUGUGCCUUUGGCUGAACUUGAAAAGGCUUACUUGGACAAAGAUGGCUCACUGAAAUUGGAGAUCGAAAUUGCAGUUGUUUCUGCCACCACAUACACACCAUUUAGCUCUUUCAUUAAAUCAGUUUUUACAUAUUUUUUAAUUCAGAUUCUCAUCUUGAUUGUUUAGAAUUGUUUUUUUUUCAAACACAAAUUCAUUAAUUCAAAUCUAAGAGUUUUCAACGA
Long non-coding RNA from Brassica oleracea var. oleracea, 1859 nucleotides. RefSeq lists it as uncharacterized. The transcript is spliced from 4 exons. The record is from RefSeq and is a predicted model, not a curated record. NCBI's taxonomy places the organism in Eukaryota, Viridiplantae, Streptophyta, Magnoliopsida, Brassicales, Brassicaceae.